Non-coding RNA from Heterocephalus glaber (naked mole-rat), 6191 nucleotides. NCBI's taxonomy places the organism in Eukaryota, Metazoa, Chordata, Mammalia, Rodentia, Bathyergidae. The record is from RefSeq and is a predicted model, not a curated record.
GGGUCCUCAUCCCUGGAGACAGCCAGAUGUGGCCCAGGAUCCCACCCCAGGAGGUGCAGGGGGAAAGGGUGGCGUCUCUGCUCCCGGGGCGCGGGCCGGCCCAGAGGGGACAGGAAGCCGGGACACCGGGGAUUGUCUCUUGCAACCGCAGCCCAGCCCCAGCCGGAGAGGAAGUUCUGCCGGGCGCUCCGCCGGUGCUUCCCUGUAUAUUGUUGAACAGGAAACAGGGCAGCUCGGAGGCCAGGCGGUGCAGGAGGGAGCGCCGGACGCCGAGCCGCGCGCGCCUGCCGGGACGAGUGGAAGCGAGGCCAGCGGGCAGACGCCCUGAGCUGCUGAGGGCCCUCUCCGCGCUUUACCCUCGCCAGCUCCCGCGCGCGCUCCACGGCUGCUCUCCACGUCCUGCCCCGCGAUGGGGGCCUAACCUGUGCCCUCGCCAGCACCGUGAGCCCCGCCCAUGGGCUCCCCGAGGCCCGCCCAGCCCAACAGGGCACGCGGCGGCUGCAAUGGCGGCUGGCGUCGAGGGCCAAGUGGACGUGCUGGUGGAGCACCCCUUCGAGUACACCGGCCAGGACGGACGCCACGUCGUCAUCCGGCCCAAUGAGCGCUACCGCCUGCUGUGCCGCAGCACCCCGCACUGGUGGCACGUGCGGCGCGAGCCCGGCGGCCGUCCCUUCUACCUGCCUGCCCAGUAUGUGCGCGAGCUGCCGGCCUCGCCGGCCGGUGUGCCCCAGCUCCUGAGCGCGCCCGGCCGGCCCGCCCGCCUGUAUGCGCGGCCCGCGGCGCCCGUGCGCCCGGCGCAGUCCCUGGACGACCUGGCGCGCGCCGCGCCCCCUGGCAGCCCCCGGGAGGGCGCGCGCCGCGCCAAGGCCUGCAGCGUGGCGGGCUCCUGGGUCUGCCCGCGGGUCCUGGCGCCCAGCGCCUCGGAGGAUGUCGACGCCGCCGCCGCGGAGGGGGUCCCGGAGCAGGUGGAUUCGCCCGCUGAGCCCGUGUAUGUGAACGUGGGGCUCCCCCCGGCCCCGUCACCGCCCGCGCCCGCCGCCCCCCGGCCCGACGCAGCGUGGGAGGAGCACAUGGACGAGGGCAGCGGGCGCCGCUACUACUACAACCGGGACACGGGCGCCACCACGUGGGAGCCGCCCUGCGAGGCGGGCCCGGAGGCCUCCCCGGGCUCGGUGGGCAGCCACAAGAGCCUGGAGGGCGAGUGGGACCAGUACUGGGAUGAGGAGAGCCGCAGGGUGUUCUUCUACAAUCCGCUGACGGGCGAGACGGCCUGGGAGGACGCACCCCGGGCCCAGGCCGGGGACGCGGACGAGGACACCGACCUGGACGUGCCGGACAUGUGGCCGGGCCCGAGCCCGGGCAGCCCCGGGGGCCAGCGGCCCCCCACUCCCGAGGCCGACUACCCCGAGCCCCUGUCCAGUUACCCCGAGGAGGAGCACUGUCCCCCCGCUGGCGCCUGUGGGGAGCUCAGCCCCACGUCCCUGUCGUCCCCACCCCCCGGCUGGUCCUGUCACCUAGGCCCGGACCACCAGGCGCUCUACACCAACCACUUCACGGGAGAGCAGUGGGUGCGGCUGGAGGACCAGCACGGCAAGGCCUACUUCUACAGGCCGCAGGACUCCUCCGUGCGCUGGGAGCUGCCCCCGGUCCCCGUCCCUGCCCCUCGAAGCAUCCACAAAACCAGCCGGGAUGGUGCCACCCCAGCCCCAGCCAGCCCCCCACAGGAAAAGAUCAAGACCCUGGACAAGGCAGGGGUGCUGCAUUGUACCCGGACAGCAGACAAGGGGAAGCGUCUCCGGAAGAAGCACUGGAGCACCUCCUGGACAGUGCUGGAGGGCGGUGUCCUGACCUUCUUCAAGGACUCCAAGACCUCAGCCACAGGCGGCCUGAGGCAGCAGCCUUCCAAGCUUUCCACCCCAGAGUACACAGUGGAGCUGAAGGGGGCCUCUCUUUCCUGGGCCCCCAAGGACAAGUCCAGUAAGAAGAAUGUGCUAGAGCUGCGGAGCCGCGACGGCUCUGAGUACCUGAUCCAGCACGACUCGGAGGGCGUCAUCAGCGCCUGGCACCAGGCCAUCGGGCAGGGCAUCGAGGAGCCGCCCGCAGAUCCGGCCCUGGGGGAGGACGUCGAGGCCAGCAGCGCUGACUUCAGGUCCAGCGAGAGGGAGGACGGCACAGCCGCGCCCGCCCCGAGCCCCGGGACCCCCGAGAGCGACCUGAGCCGGGUGCGGCAGAAGCUGCGUAGGUUCCUGCAGAGGCGGCCGACGCUGCAGUCGCUGCGCGAGCGGGGCUACAUCAAGGACCAGGUCUUCGGCUGUGCGCUGGCCACAUUGUGCGCGCGUGAGAAGAGCUCCGUGCCACGCUUCGUGCAGCAGUGCGUGCACGCCGUCGAGGCCCGGGGGCUGGACACGGACGGGCUGUACCGCAUCAGCGGGAACCUGGCCACCAUCCAGAAGCUCCGCUACCACGUGGACCACGAUGAGCGCCUGGACCUGGAUGACGGCCGCUGGACUGACGUCCACGUGCUCACCGGCGCGCUCAAGCUCUUCCUGCGCGAGCUGCCUGAGCCGCUCUUCCCCUUCUCGCACUUCAGCCAGUUCCUCGCAGCCAUCAAGCUGCAGGACCCAGCCCGGCGCGGCCGCUGCGUGCGGGACCUGGUGCGCUCGCUGCCCACUCCGAACCAUGACACUCUGCAGCUGCUGUUCCAGCACCUGCGCCGGGUGGUGGAACAGGGGGAGCAGAACCGCAUGUCAGUGCAGAGUGUGGCCAUCGUGUUCGGGCCCACUCUGCUGCGGCCCGAGACAGAGGAGGGCAGCAUGCCCAUGACCAUGGUGUUCCAGAACCAGGUGGUGGAGCUCAUCCUGCAGCAGUGCGCAGACAUCUUCCCGCCACCCUGAUGGCUGCCACCCACCCUUGUUGCCGCGGGCCCUGGACUUGGCUCGUAGGACCAGGCUUGGACACCUCCUCCUUGAUGGAAAAAUGGGCGUUCUUCAAAUGACUAUCACCUCGCUGAGUCCCAGUCAGGACCUGGUUCCUUCUUCACAAUGCAGACCUUCGGCCCUCACCAUUGCUACGGAGAACUGGCACCACGAGAUGGACUGUGAGUGGUGGUGAUCGCUAUGACGUCAGCUCAAAGGCUUGGCUCAGCUUCAAGGAGAGAGGACAAUGUAGACAUCACCUCUCGAUGGAAAGAGUACCGAAGAACUUGCGGGUCAGGUCAGGCUCCUCGAGACUCCCCUCGCCUGACACCACAGCCAGUGGCUCCCCAACUGCUUCUGAGCUGAGCCCGAGGCCGCUGAGCCGCAUCUCCCCACUGACUGUGUCCACAGGAGAGGGUCUUGGGCAGCCACGCCUCAGCUGAGGACCCCUGGGCUCCUCUCCCAGCCAGGCCCUUCCCUGUCGGUGCCCAUGGCCGGGCGCCCCAGACCAGGCAGGGGUGGCAUGGAGCUUCUCCCAAUCCUUGACAUCGCAGAUCAGUGUAACAGUAUGUGCCCCGAACACAGAAUGUUGCAAUCAGAAAGUGUAAAGGGAGGCUCUCGACCCUGGGACCCUCAUUCACGUACAUGGAGAAUAACCCUGGGCUCUGAACGACCCUCAGAAGUCUGACAAACAGUCUUUUCUGGCUAAGUCUUACUCCAACCCUGGGCUUUCACUGCCUGCAAGUGAAAAACCUCUGCUCACCUCCCCCUGCUCCAUGAGCUUCCCGUGGCUACAGGACGGAAGCUUCCGGAAGGCGGUGCCGUGCCCUCUUGCCUAGCUCCAUGAGCGUUUGCAGAAUGAUCCUCAUGAGGAAAGCUCACGGUCCCUGGCACCCUCCCGGCGCUCCACCCUCUCCCUGCCUGCCUGGUGCUGGGCAGGGCUCCUGUCUGCCACGCACAAUGGGAGGCCACCCAUACUGCAGGAGCCCUGUUUUCCUGGCAUACGCAUGAAGACAGAAUGAAGCCCGGAGAUUCAGAGCCCCGCAGCUGCCAUCUGGACAUGGCCACUGGGGUGGAGACAGGGACAGCCACGGGGCAAGCUCAGUGCAGGUGGAGGAAAGCAGGACCAGGAGGCCAGGGCUGGGGCCGACCCUCGCUAUGCUCGGCCUGGCCUUGCAGCUGUGUUGUGGACAGUCCUGUGCCACCUUCCCUGGGAAGCGCUGUGCAGUUUGUGAACAGAAGUCUGUGAGGCACCACGCUGUGCCUGGUGUGAUGGCCCGGCCAUCCAAGCCCCGGGGCCUCCCCAUUUCAAGCCACGGCCUCUGUGGCCACCACCAGAAGAAAGGAGAGAACAGAGGGCUAGACACCAGCACUCACAGGCUGUGGCCUAGAGUGACACGCGUCACCUCCAUCACAGCCCAGUGGUCAGGGCCACGGAGGUCCAGGUGGCUGCCGCUGUCCUGGGGAAGAGCAGACAGAGGACAGGGGAAGCCACAGAGCUCGGGCCUGGACACCGGCAUGGAGCCUGAGCUGCGCUGUGCAUUCUGUGUGACCUGGGAGUGUGGCUGAGGUGUCCCGCAUCGUGCUGUCCUAUGCCGCAGUCUGAGGGUGAGGAAGGGGCUCUACCUACUUUGCUGCAGGGCAGAGAAACCGAUUCAUGGUUACAGAGCCUGCUUCAUGACGUCUGGCCCAUGGCAAGAAUUUGAUAAACGGCCCCUCUUCAGUUGCACCAGGCAUGCAGCUUCCUUGGGAGGGUUAGCCCAGUCUCCGCGCCCCUCUGAAGCACCCUGUCACCCAGCCCUGCAUGUGAGCGUCUCACCCUAACAGGGCUCGAGCACCGGAGAGCAUUCUGGCCCUCAGGUGGAGGAUCCCGAAGGUCGGUGAGCAAGCGAUGACUCGGCCCCAGGCAUGGCCCUGUUCACAUUCAUCCAGAGCUGGAAAAGUCCACCUGGCUGCUGGGUUCCCUGCAAGGCCCCUCAGAGGUCAGGCUUAGGGGCAGCUCUGGGACAGACACCUGGGGUGGCUGAGUGGCUGGGGAGACGCUGAGCCCUCUCAUUGUACAGUGUGAGGUCACAGUGGCGGGAGAGCCCAGCAGAGCCAGAGGUGGAGGCAGCAACCCAAGCCCCGUGCCCGGCGUCACACUGUCCUCAGAAGCGGUUUCCAGGCUGGCACCUUCCAGGCCUCCUGGCCCCGAGGCAGGUCCUCAUCCUGUGUCCCUCCCGGGCCAAAGUUUGGGGACUUGGCCAUGCCUUCCGGGGGCGUCUGCCCUCUGGCUACUCAGGAGCCGGAGAGGAUGGUGAGAAGCCCAGUUCACUGAUGGCCCUGGGAGUGGACAGCACCCACGUGGGCACCAGGUGAGCAGGGGCAAGUCACACAGCAUGCUGAGGGCCUCUGGCGCGGUCAGCACGCUUCCUCCAGAGGCAGAGGGGAGCAAGCCCCGUGGGCACCACUAGUCGCCCUCCUGCCUGGCCGGGAGGCAGCUUCCUGCCUUCUGCUCUCUCUCCACCCAUGCUGCUCCAGCAAAAGGGAGGGGACCUGGGAUGGUGGCCGCACUGGCCUAGCUUCCCAGGACCCUGUCCUUAGAGCUGAGCUGCAGACUCAGCCCCACUGAGGGUGGGCUGGCUGGCCGGUAACUGGGUGAGGUGACACUGAGGCCCAGGGCUGUGGCACGGGAGGAGCUGAGCAUUCCCGGCCCCACCUCCCCCUGGAGAGGCCAGGACGCAUCCCUGGCACAGAGGCUGUGCCCAUCCCAGGCUGCCAGAGCAGCAGCCUCCACCCCAGGGUUCCGGGGACCAGAGCAGUGUGGAGGACACCCAGGGAAGGCGGCCCUGGGAGCACCCACUCAUGCCUCUCCCAGUCCAGACCUCCUAGACUGUCUGCAGUUGGCACUGCCCACCCCUGCCCUCACGCCUGGGACAGCCUGUGGAUGGUCCCUUCUGUUACUCAGCUGUGCUGCCAACAAUGGAAGAAUGAAUGCUAAGUGAUGGGCUUUCUCUGCCCUACGAGGCUGCAGGCAACUGUGAAGAGACCUUGAGGCCAGAGGAGCCCACCUGAGCCUCCACCUGUGGCAAGCAGCCAGUGCCUGGCCUGGGCGAGGAGCGUGGGGUGGGCCGGGCAGGAAAAGCACGAGAGCUUGAGGGUGAAGAUUCAUGUUCGGUUUAGUCCUGUUUGUUGCAGGCUCACCAACUUACCAACAGUCCUAGACCGCUAGACUUCCUUGCUCUUCUCCUGUUAACAGCGUCCUCGAGCUGUAAUUCACAUACACGCGGCUCAGUC